CAGCGGCACCCCCAAAUCCCAGAUCUGGCAGCCGCCAGCCAGCGGUGUCCCAAAUCCCUCGUCGUUCCUAGGCUGAUGCGCCCCAAAUCCGUCGCCAACCUGCUGCGCCCCAAAUCCUCGUCGCCGGAUGCGCCUCCUCCAACCUCUCGCCCGCCCCAUUCGCUAUGUUCGCUGGGUUGCCGAACAAGGAAUGGUCGCCUUCGGAAUAUCGCCGUCAACUUCGCCUCUACCUCCAGAGGGUCGUCGUCAAAGUACCCGCCGGUGUCGUCAGUCGAUUGCUAUCGCAUCCUUGUUUGAGUGCCACCCCUUUCCAUCCAGGUUACAGGACUCCUAAAACAUCACUUCUUCAGAGGAGGGAAACAGAGUUGAACUGUUAAUUGUAAAGGGACAAUUGAUCCAUCGCAUGGAAAGUACAAGGAAGAUGAUCAGCACAACAAGGAAGAUCAAUAAAGGCAAGAAAUUAUAAAUAUUCUUCUGAAUAAAGAGGGUAACCUUGAAGAGAAGGUUGCAACUUAAGCUGUAACAAAACAUUAUGAAAAGAGGUCUCACGCCGUGAAUAUUUAGUUGAUGCACUAGUGUUUUUAGAUGUUGCGCCUCUGUUUUCAUUGUCCUUUGAUUCAUGUAUGCAAGUUCGAUGGAAUUGUAUCCGAAGUAUGUGAAUUGGUAACUCUAUGGUUGAUGGAAUUGAUAGUGAUGUUUCUCUGUUCUAAACAUUCAGAGUAAUGAAAUGGCUAUG
Triticum aestivum (bread wheat) is the source of this 736-nucleotide long non-coding RNA. RefSeq lists it as uncharacterized. The record is from RefSeq and is a predicted model, not a curated record. The transcript has 4 exons. Lineage: Eukaryota; Viridiplantae; Streptophyta; Magnoliopsida; Poales; Poaceae.